This is a long non-coding RNA of Triticum dicoccoides, 1524 nucleotides long. RefSeq lists it as uncharacterized. The record is from RefSeq and is a predicted model, not a curated record. NCBI's taxonomy places the organism in Eukaryota, Viridiplantae, Streptophyta, Magnoliopsida, Poales, Poaceae. The transcript has 3 exons.
UCUUAACAUGCAAGCUAUCCACAUCAGCAGUCCACUCACAUCAGCGCUCCGUUACCGAAUUACAAAAGGGACCCACCACAGGUUGACAUGGAUUCUCUGCCUCCACGUCACCUCAACUUCUUCUACCAAGUUGUGUCACACACACGUCACCUCAACUUCUUCUACCACAUUGUGUCUCACACACAUGCUGUGCGUUAUCACGUUGUGCGGCACGCAGCAAAUGUAGGUGGCAUACGAAACGAGGGCCUGCCCAUAUUCCUUUCAUCCACUAUCUCGCCACUGAUCAUUAAUAGGCCCGUUUACUAGGAUAAAGCCAGUUCGUCUCACACAAAUCAUGAACGAAUCAUUGCGCCUUCCAACUGGGUGCUACUGCGACGGGGCGGCGGCGGACAUGUAGCAGAGCACCGGUAUCCAUUAACUAGAGGAAUAGGUGUCAGGCAGGCAGCGGUGAGGACGUAGCAGCAGCCAGCAGGCGAGGCGCCACACACCGACGACAACGAUCGUAGACUGAACGCUCCAGCUAGGGCUGAGCCGCCACUGGGUACUACUGCAAGGGUCGAACAAGCAGAACGAGAGUGCCAGAUCGAUAGAGAAGAACACCGCUACAUGACCAGAAACUGGAGCCCUAUGUUGCCAUCAUGGACAUGGAUCGGAAGGCUCUGAAUUACGCCAGAUGCAUUCAUCCCCUACAAACUAUAAUAUUUCGGGGCAACCUUUUAAUCAUAAUUUAAUUUUAUUAAUAUCUGUGUAAAUGCAGAUAACUCAUCAUGCUUAUUUCUAGGAGUGGAACUAAGCUUCAUCAAAUUCAAAAGCAUGUAUAAUGCUGCGCACUACACAAAACAAACAAAAAGAAUGAGAACAACCUGAGUAUACUGUCAUGAAUGGUAGCAGUAUGUUGCACAAGGUUGAUCCGGUGAGAAGCAUGAUUUACUCAAUAGUGUACCUCGUGAUUUAUUAGUGAUAUCUUUUAACAGAAAAUUAGAUUAUUAGUGAACUCACAUUUUUUCUUCUGAGCAAGCUAUGUUUUUAUGGAAUGGAUAGUUAAUAGUUGUCAUCGUUGUUUCAGGUUUUUUCCAAGGGCUGAGAUGUCUCUACUUAAAGGUGUUUUUUUUUUUUGCAUCAGCUUGGUUUUUUUUUGCGGGUGAUGUAUCACCUUGGUGAUAUACUUUUUUUGCGGGGAACCUUCGUGAUAUACUAUUAAGGUAAUAAAGGAGAAGAAGUUUAUCAAAGCAGGUAAUAAUUAGUAAAAAAAUCACGUGCACACAAUUUAAGCUUUUCAACACUUUUAUCUUAUUCUAAACAAUAUUUUUUUCCAAGAAUGUUAUUUAAAAAAACACAUUUAUCAUAUUCUAAACAAUAUUUUUUCCAAAGAAUAUUCUUUAUCAUCGCACAUACUAAAAUUCAUGUGCACACAAUUUUAGCUUUUCAACACUAUUCUCUCUUAUUCUAAACAAUAUUUUUUUCCAAGAAUAUUAUUUAUCAUCGGCACAUACUAUCUCAUGUUUCUAAACAUCAAAUUAUUUG